ACGGGGGGGGCGAGCGUUGUUCGGAAUUACUGGGCGUAAAGGGUUCGUAGGUGGCUCGCUAAGUCAGACGUGAAAUCCCUCAGCUCAACUGGGGAAUGGCGUCUGAGACUGGCAAGCUUGAGUGCAGGAGAGGAACGCGGAAUUCCAGGUGUAGCGGUGAAAUGCGUAGAUAUCUGGAGGAACACCGGUGGCGAAGGCGGCGUUCUGGACUGCAACUGACACUGAUGAACGAAAGCCAGGGGAGCAAACGGGA
Molecule: ribosomal RNA, 253 nt
Filed under: uncultured prokaryote
Description: partial 16S ribosomal RNA
Rfam family: Bacterial small subunit ribosomal RNA
Source: RNAcentral